UUGCCUUAGUAGCGGCGAGUGAAGCGGCAAAAGCUCAAAUUUGAAAUCUGGCACUUUCAGUGUCCGAGUUGUAAUUUGAAGAAGGUAUCUUUGGGUCUGGCUCUUGUCUAUGUUUCUUGGAACAGAACGUCACAGAGGGUGAGAAUCCCGUGCGAUGAGAUGUCCCAGACCUAUGUAAAGUUCCUUCGAAGAGUCGAGUUGUUUGGGAAUGCAGCUCUAAGUGGGUGGUAAAUUCCAUCUAAAGCUAAAUAUUGGCGAGAGACCGAUAGCGAACAAGUACAGUGAUGGAAAGAUGAAAAGAACUUUGAAAAGAGAGUGAAAAAGUACGUGAAAUUGUUGAAAGGGAAGGGCUUGAGAUCAGACUUGGUAUUUUGUAUGUUACUCUCUCGGGGGUGGCCUCU
Molecule: ribosomal RNA, 401 nt
Filed under: Lodderomyces parapsilosis
Lineage: Eukaryota; Fungi; Ascomycota; Pichiomycetes; Serinales; Debaryomycetaceae
Description: Candida parapsilosis partial large subunit ribosomal RNA
Rfam family: Eukaryotic large subunit ribosomal RNA
Source: RNAcentral